AUGACCAUAGAUCGAACCUAUCCUAUUUUUACAGUGUGAUGACUGGCUAUUCACGGACUAGCUGUACCUACUUUUUUUUUGGGAUCAAUAUCAGCAAUGCAGUUCAUCCAACGAUAA
RNAcentral lists this ribosomal RNA (117 nucleotides) under Triticum aestivum (bread wheat). RNAcentral's name for it is "partial small subunit ribosomal RNA". The record is from RNAcentral. Lineage: Eukaryota; Viridiplantae; Streptophyta; Magnoliopsida; Poales; Poaceae.